Molecule: transfer RNA, 67 nt
Filed under: Apocheima cinerarius
Lineage: Eukaryota; Metazoa; Arthropoda; Insecta; Lepidoptera; Geometridae
Description: tRNA-Glu
Source: RNAcentral
AUUUAUAUAGUUUAAAUAAAACAUUACAUUUUCACUGUAAAAAUAAAAAACUUCUUUUUUAUAAAUA